Molecule: ribosomal RNA, 252 nt
Filed under: uncultured bacterium
Lineage: Bacteria
Description: partial 16S ribosomal RNA
Rfam family: Bacterial small subunit ribosomal RNA
Source: RNAcentral
UACAGAGGGGGCAAGCGUUGUUCGGAAUUACUGGGCGUAAAGGGCGCGUAGGCGGCCUGUUAAGUCGAACGUGAAAUCCCCGGGCUCAACCCGGGAACUGCGUCCGAUACUGGCAGGCUUGAAUCCGGGAGAGGGAUGCGGAAUUCCCGGUGUAGCGGUGAAAUGCGUAGAUAUCGGAGGAACACCUGUGGCGAAAGCGGCUCACUGGACCACAACUGACGCUGAGGCGCGAAAGCUAGGGGAGCAAACAGG